RNAcentral lists this long non-coding RNA (400 nucleotides) under Salvia miltiorrhiza (redroot sage). RNAcentral's name for it is "long non-coding RNA (SMIL_LNC001994)". The record is from RNAcentral. Lineage: Eukaryota; Viridiplantae; Streptophyta; Magnoliopsida; Lamiales; Lamiaceae.
AGUUGAGUUCGAGAAUUUGAACUCGGCCGAUGGACAGUUUGCUCGGCCGCUGUAGUUGAAGAACUCGGCGUUGAAGACGUCGCCCGCUGAAUUGAAUUCUCGAACUCGGCCGAUGGGCAAUUUGCUUGGCCGCUUUAGUUGAAUUCGGCCGCUGGAAAAGGUUCUCGGCUGCUGGAGAAGAUGCUCGGCCGCUGGAGGUUUGUACUUGGUGCUGAAUUGAAGAUUUCGGCCGAUUAGAAGAGAAAUCGACGCUGGAAAUUAAAACUCGGCUGCUUGAGGAAGAACUCGGUGGCUGGAAUAUUAUUCUCGGCCACUGGAUUGAAGACUUCGGCCGAUUGAGAUAACUCGGCUGCUCGGGAAGGACGAAGCUGAUGGCGCUGUUGGCGGGACUGGAGGACAG